Molecule: ribosomal RNA, 730 nt
Filed under: uncultured Sphingobacteriaceae bacterium
Lineage: Bacteria; Pseudomonadati; Bacteroidota; Sphingobacteriia; Sphingobacteriales; Sphingobacteriaceae
Description: bacterial SSU rRNA
Rfam family: Bacterial small subunit ribosomal RNA
Source: RNAcentral
UAAUACAUGCAAGUCGAGGGGUAGGGUUAGCUUGCUGACCUGAGACCGGCGCACGGGUGCGUAACGCGUAUGCAACCUACCUUCAUCAGGGGGAUAGCCCGGAGAAAUCCGGAUUAACACCGCAUGAAAUCACAGAACGGCAUCGUUCAAUGAUCAAACAUUUAUGGGAUGGAGAUGGGCAUGCGUGUCAUUAGUUAGUUGGCGGGGUAACGGCCCACCAAGACCGCGAUGACUAGGGGAUCUGAGAGGAUGGCCCCCCACACUGGUACUGAGACACGGACCAGACUCCUACGGGAGGCAGCAGUAAGGAAUAUUGGUCAAUGGGCGAGAGCCUGAACCAGCCAUGCCGCGUGCAGGAAGACGGCCCUCUGGGUUGUAAACUGCUUUUAUUCGGGAAUAAACCUACUUACGUGUAAGUAGCUGAAUGUACCGAAGGAAUAAGGAUCGGCUAACUCCGUGCCAGCAGCCGCGGUAAUACGGAGGAUCCAAGCGUUAUCCGGAUUUAUUGGGUUUAAAGGGUGCGUAGGCGGCCUGUUAAGUCAGGGGUGAAAGACGGUAGCUCAACUAUCGCAGUGCCCUUGAUACUGAUGGGCUUGAAUGGACUAGAGGUAGGCGGAAUGUGACAAGUAGCGGUGAAAUGCAUAGAUAUGUCACAGAACACCGAUUGCGAAGGCAGCUUACUAUGGUCUUAUUGACGCUGAGGCACGAAAGCGUGGGGAUCAAACAGGAU